Molecule: ribosomal RNA, 1029 nt
Filed under: Triticum aestivum (bread wheat)
Lineage: Eukaryota; Viridiplantae; Streptophyta; Magnoliopsida; Poales; Poaceae
Description: partial small subunit ribosomal RNA
Source: RNAcentral
AUGGUUUUCUCCUCCUUCCCGAUCUUCCUCGACCCUCCAAGUUGGACCCAGAUGCAGCAGCAGCCACUUCAGUGUUUCAUGGGAGGAGGUGGCGGCAGCGAGCACCAGCACCACCAGCUGAUCCCUGCGUCGUCCGGCCAGCUGGCGCCGCUGCCGGACGUGCCCGGCAGCACUGCAGCAAGCGCGCCGGCGGUGGCCGGGUCGUCUUCUGCCUCGCUGCAGCUGGUUGUGUCGGGACAGCAGGGUAACCCGGGCGAGCAGCCGCCGCGGCCGUCAGUGUCGAUGACCGAGCGCGCCCGGAUGGCCCGCGUGCCGCUGCCGGAGCCCGGCACGCUCCGGUGCCCGCGCUGCGACUCGGCCAACACCAAGUUCUGCUACUUCAACAACUACUCGCUCUCGCAGCCGCGCCACUUCUGCAAGGCGUGCCGCCGCUACUGGACGCGGGGCGGCGCCCUCCGCAACGUCCCCGUCGGCGGCGGCUGCCGCCGCAACACCAAGCGCUCCAGCAAGAAGUCGUCUCGCCAGGGCCAGGGCGGCGGCGGUGCCGUCGCAGCCGCCACGUCCUCCUCCUCCACCACCUCCACCUCCACCACCACGAGCGCCGCCGCGGCGACCGCGGCCGACGUCAUCGCCAGCAUGCAGGCGCUGCCGCACCACCUAGGCGGCCUCCCCGCAGCAGCCGCACUGGAGGCGUCGCUCGAGGGGUACCACAGCCACAGCCACCACCAACACCAUAACCUGCCGUUCCUGCCGCCGCAGUUCCUGCAGCAAGGGCUGCACGGGUACCACUUCGCCGACGGCGACAUCGGCUCACAGCUGGCCGACGGGUUUCCGAGAGGCGUGGCUUCGGGUCUGCUCGCGCAGCUGGCGUCGAUCAAGAUGGAGGAGCAUGGCGCGGGCGCCGCCGGUGCUGGAGGCGGCUUUGUCGGAGGGCACGAGCAGUACUGGCCCGGAAGCGGUGGCGGGGGCGGGUGGCCGACGGAGUUCUUGUCCGGGUUCAGCUCCUCCUCGUCGGGGAAUGUGAUGUGA